GUGCUCCCUUUGGAAGCACAUAUACUAAAAUUUGGAUGAUACAGAGAAGAUUAGCAUGGCCCCUGCACAAGGAUGACACACAAAUUCGUGAAGCAUUCCAUAUUUUU
RNAcentral lists this small nuclear RNA (107 nucleotides) under Catagonus wagneri (Chacoan peccary). Lineage: Eukaryota; Metazoa; Chordata; Mammalia; Artiodactyla; Tayassuidae. The record is from RNAcentral.